ACACCCGUUGUUGCAGGCGCCAGUUCGAGUGUCCCAACCGAGCGGGAGGAUUGCGGCAAGGGCUUGGCGCCCUAGCGGUACCAGUUGGCAGUUUACUUUCCUACUUGCAUUAGUUCACCCUAUGUUUAUAUUUUGAGAGUAGAUGUUGUAUAGGGUGAGGUUUUGGAGAGUACUUGAUGUAUUUACAUUUUGGAGAACGAUGUAUGAAGUUUAAUGCAAGUUGUAUUUAAUGCUUUAAAUUUCAUGGUUCAAAUAG
This 256-nucleotide long non-coding RNA is filed under the name Ananas comosus (pineapple). RNAcentral describes it as "long non-coding RNA (ACOM_LNC035430)". The record is from RNAcentral. Lineage: Eukaryota; Viridiplantae; Streptophyta; Magnoliopsida; Poales; Bromeliaceae.